RNAcentral lists this ribosomal RNA (301 nucleotides) under uncultured bacterium. RNAcentral describes it as "partial 16S ribosomal RNA". It matches the Rfam family "Bacterial small subunit ribosomal RNA", at positions 509 to 807 of the family's 1533-position model. The record is from RNAcentral.
CAGCAGCCACGGGAACACGGAGGGUGCAAGCGUUAAUCGGAAUUACUGGGCGUAAAGCGCACGCAGGCGGUUUGUUAAGUCAGAUGUGAAAUCCCCGAGCUUAACUUGGGAACUGCACUUGAAACUGGCAAGCUAGAGUCUUGUAUAGGGGGGUAGAAUUCCAGGUGUAGCGGUGAAAUGCGUAGAGAUCUGGAGGAUUACCGGUGGCGAAGGCGGCCCCCUGGACAAAGACUGACGCUCAGGUGCGAAAGCGUGGGGAGCAAACAGGAUUAGAUACCCCCGUGGUCCCUGUCUCUUAUAC